GGUUUAGACCGUCGUGAGACAGGUUAGUUUUAACUUACUGAUGAUGUGCUGUUGCAAUAGUAAUCCUGCCCAGUACGAGAGGAACCGCAAGUCAAACACAAA
Molecule: long non-coding RNA, 102 nt
Organism: Stegastes partitus (bicolor damselfish)
Lineage: Eukaryota; Metazoa; Chordata; Actinopteri; Pomacentridae
Exons: 3
Source: RefSeq, a predicted model, not a curated record